RNAcentral lists this ribosomal RNA (784 nucleotides) under uncultured bacterium. RNAcentral describes it as "bacterial SSU rRNA". It matches the Rfam family "Bacterial small subunit ribosomal RNA", at positions 76 to 859 of the family's 1533-position model. The record is from RNAcentral.
GUAGCAAUACCCGCCGGCGACCGGCGCACGGGUGAGUAACGCGUAUGCAACUUACCUAUCAGAGGGGGAUAACCCGGCGAAAGUCGGACUAAUACCGCAUGAAGCAGGGGCCCCGCAUGGGGAUAUUUGCUAAAGAUUCAUCGCUGAUAGAUAGGCAUGCGUUCCAUUAGGCAGUUGGCGGGGUAACGGCCCACCAAACCGACGAUGGAUAGGGGUUCUGAGAGGAAGGUCCCCCACAUUGGUACUGAGACACGGACCAAACUCCUACGGGAGGCAGCAGUGAGGAAUAUUGGUCAAUGGCCGAGAGGCUGAACCAGCCAAGUCGCGUGAGGGAUGAAGGUUCUAUGGAUCGUAAACCUCUUUUAUAAGGGAAUAAAGUGCGGGACGUGUCCCGUUUUGUAUGUACCUUAUGAAUAAGGAUCGGCUAACUCCGUGCCAGCAGCCGCGGUAAUACGGAGGAUCCGAGCGUUAUCCGGAUUUAUUGGGUUUAAAGGGUGCGUAGGCGGCCUUUUAAGUCAGCGGUGAAAGUCUGUGGCUCAACCAUAGAAUUGCCGUUGAAACUGGGAGGCUUGAGUAUGUUUGAGGCAGGCGGAAUGCGUGGUGUAGCGGUGAAAUGCAUAGAUAUCACGCAGAACCCCGAUUGCGAAGGCAGCCUGCCAAGCCAUGACUGACGCUGAUGCACGAAAGCGUGGGGAUCAAACAGGAUUAGAUACCCUGGUAGUCCACGCAGUANACGAUGAUCACUAGCUGUUUGCGAUACAGUGUAAGCNGCACAGCGAAAGCG